Molecule: non-coding RNA, 71 nt
Organism: Biomphalaria glabrata
Lineage: Eukaryota; Metazoa; Mollusca; Gastropoda; Planorbidae
Source: Rfam
GAUACUAUGGCUGAGCGGUAAAGCAUUUGGCUUCUGAACCGGGGAUCCCGGGUUCGAAUCCUGGUAAAUCC